UGGCAUGUAGCUCAGUUGGUAGAGCAAUCGGCUGUUAACCGACGUGUCGUGGGUUCAAUCCCCACCUUGCCAG
RNAcentral lists this transfer RNA (73 nucleotides) under Bacteriophage sp. Its description in RNAcentral is "tRNA-Asn". It matches the Rfam family "tRNA". From Rfam's summary of the family: Transfer RNA (tRNA) molecules are approximately 80 nucleotides in length. The record is from RNAcentral.